GAAGGUUCGUCCGCCCUGGGUUAGUCGGGACCUAAGCUGAGGCCGAAAGGCGUAGGUGAUGGACAACAGGUUGAUAUUCCUGUACUACCGAUAACCGUUUGAGAGAAGGGAUGACACAGUAGGAUAAGCUAAGCACACUGUUGGUUAUGUGUGCCCAAGCAUUGAGGCAGUCAAAGUAGGCAAAUCCGCUUUGAUAAUGCUGGGAUGUGAUGG
This 213-nucleotide ribosomal RNA is filed under the name Clostridioides difficile. Its description in RNAcentral is "partial 23S ribosomal RNA". It matches the Rfam family "Bacterial large subunit ribosomal RNA", at positions 1360 to 1569 of the family's 2925-position model. Lineage: Bacteria; Bacillati; Bacillota; Clostridia; Peptostreptococcales; Peptostreptococcaceae. The record is from RNAcentral.